AGUGAACGCUGGCGGUAGGCCUAACACAUGCAAGUCGAACGGCAGCACAGUAAGAGCUUGCUCUUACGGGUGGCGAGUGGCGGACGGGUGAGGAAUACAUCGGAAUCUACUUUUUCGUGGGGGAUAACGUAGGGAAACUUACGCUAAUACCGCAUACGACCUACGGGUGAAAGCAGGGGAUCUUCGGACCUUGCGCGAUUGAAUGAGCCGAUGUGGGAUUAGCUAGUUGGCGGGGUAAAGGCCCACCAAGGCGACGAUCCGUAGCUGGUCCGAGGGGAUGAUCGCCAACCUGGGACAGGGGCAGGGGACCAACACCUGCAGGGAGCAACGGGGGGGAAUAUUGGGCGAGGGGGCGGAGGCCUAUCCCGGCAAACCGGCGUGGGUGAGAAAGGCCUCCGGGUGGUAAGGCCUUUUGGUGGGAAAGGAAAACAGCCAGUUUAUUCCCCGCUGUUCUGACGGUACCCAAAGAAUAAGCACCGGCUAACUUCGUG
Molecule: ribosomal RNA, 491 nt
Filed under: uncultured bacterium
Lineage: Bacteria
Description: partial 16S ribosomal RNA
Rfam family: Bacterial small subunit ribosomal RNA
Source: RNAcentral